GCUGGAUAUCUCUGAUGGAAGUGGACUCAUGUGUUCAUGGUGGAAAUACACAAGAAACAUGCCUCCAGAAAACUGGAGUGAGGCUCAAGAGCUUUUUGAUGGAAAUUACUGCCAAUAUUUGCUCUAAUACUCAAGGCUUCAUGCCUACAGGAUGAAUGAGCUGACCACCUUCUGGAGGACAGUCACACGUCAUGUGCAAAUCCUCAGUACAGCACUCAGUAUAGCCACUCUGAAAGAUGGAACCUAGGAUUUCUUCCAGUGUCCAUCCUAAUGAUGUCCUACAGCUGUGAAGAAACGUAAAUAAUUAACUCACUAUAAAGACAGUCUACAGAGAUCCACAACAACCUCACUGUAUGGUAGAAAAGACACCCCCAAGAAUACUAUAUUGUUAUGAGAAAAAAAAUAGUCAUAAAGCAGAAUGUUGCCUGUGAUCUAAUUUGUUGGCAGAUCAGAAGAGUCUAGAAGGGAUUGGAAAUCUAUCUCAGUUGGUAGAGUGGAAGACAUUACUGUCAGAAGAUAAUUCUAUCUGCUGUUGGAAAAAAACACACACACACAGCACAGGGGCUGGGAUACAACUCAGUUGAAGUGUUUGACCACCAUGCGAGAAGCCCUGUAUUCAGGCUGCAGCACCACAUAAACUGGGCGUUGCGUUACACACCUUUAAUCCUAGCCCUCGGGAGGUGGAAGCAGGAGGGGUGAGUACAAGGUCAUCCUCUACUAUAUAAUGAGUUCGAGGCUAGCCUGAGAUACAUGAGAUUCUGUCUCCAGAAAACAAACUAUACAACGGGGGACAACAGACCAUAGUGAAGAAGGAACCCUCAGGAACCAAUGAGCUAGUGUGAGAAACUGUGGCUGAAGAACAGCAUUGGUGACUUGGGGACAAGCUUUCAGGUCACACUAAAGACACAGCUGUAAGAAUUGACCAGGAAGAUACACCCAGUCCUCAUAAAGAGCUGUGUCGAUGCCUAAAUCAUCAGACCUCACAACCACAGUAAGUCAGGAGAUAUUUGUCUUCUUUCUACAUUAGGAGAACAAGGGUUGGAGAGAAGAAGCUGGGGUUGACUAAUGGAUUUGCUAUGCUAAUUAAGAGGGGGGAUGACAGGCCACACAAGGCACUGGUCACAGAGAGAUAGGUGCUAGAGCCCUGCUCUACAGCCUGAGACAGUUGUCGUGUAUUACAUCAUUGACAACCAUACAAUUCCCAGUGCCCUUAUAACAACCAAUAAGAAGGAAGCUAGUGGAUACAUUAGUUGGAUUAAUAAAAACCAUUGCACAGUGCAGACCUGUGUCAACCACCUAGUGUAUCAUAAACACAUACGCUGUCCCAAUACAAAUUGAAAAAUAAAAGCAUGUAAGGACAGUCAUUAUUGUAGUUCACAAGGUUCAAAUGCCCAGCAAAGCUGUCUCAUAGGCACAGUAGUGGCAUGAGGUUAUGAGAGUAGCCAGCCACUUUCUGAUUGGAUUUAAAGCCCACUUCAUGAGAUAGAAUCCAUGCCUGCCACUGUUAGUGAGGCCGGGAACCUGGGGCUAGACAUGUCAUAGGCUCUAAUAGAAGACCUGAUGCUAUUAUUGUGAUAAGUGGAUAUAGUAUUAAACCAGCCCUAAUAACUUAUCACUAUAUCCAUAGAUUGGUGUGUCUCUCAACCCUCUUCAGAGAAGCUUCUUAUUGCAGUAGAUGGCAAUUAACAUGGAGACCCACAAGCCAUAUAGAUAAGAGACUAUAGAGUAACUAGUUCUAAAUGGGAUGGCUAUAUCACAGCCUUCCGCUUAAGUCUCGGGGAUCAUUGCAAAGGAAGAGGAACUAUUAUAACAGUCACAGGCAGUGAGUAACCACUGGAAACUGUUUUCGGAUACAACAGGGCAGUUGUAUGUAUAAACACACAGUAGUCGUGAUAGCAUGCAUAAGACCUGUGGAAGCUCAAGCCAGACAAAACCCUAGCAUGGAGGUCGGGAGGAGGGCACUGUGACCCAUAGCUGAUUAGAUAUUGGCAAUCAAUAGUUGCCCUUAAAGGAGUCAGUUUUCUUUAAAGGUGUGACCCCUGGUAGGUCAGCUACGGUCCAGAGCAGGCCCUACACUGAGGGAUAUUUGGGGAGCACAAAUUGGACUCAAUGGGUUUAAAAGAGAGAAAGCACACAAAUUUGGGUUGGUAGGAAGAUACUGGUUAAUCUAGGAAGACUCUGGAGAGGAAUGGGUGGGUAGGAUGUGGAGAUUAAUCUGGGAGGAGUUGGUAGGUAGGUGGAUAUGAUCAAAACAUGUUGCAUGAACUUCUCAAAUAAUUAAUAAAUAAUUAAUAAUUAUUUAUAAUUAAUAAUUAAUAAUAAUCAAAUAAUUAAUAAAACUUUUUAGUAUGAAUAUAUAAUAAAGUAAUAAAGAUUAAAAUAACUAAUUAGGGUAAGAGAUGUAUCUCAGUUGUUAUAGUGUUUUCCCAGGAUGCAUGAAGUCCCAGGUUCAAUCCCCAGCACCAUAUAAAACUAGACAUGGUGGAACACAGUUACAACCUUAGCACUCAGGGAGCAGAAGGAGGAGGACCAUCCUGAACUACAUAGCAAGUUUUCUGCCUGUCUUAGUUAGUGUUUACUACUACUGUGAUGAGACACCACACCCAUGGUAACUCCCGUAAAGAAAACAUUUAAUUGAGGAGGGCUCAUUUAUAGUUUUAGAAGGGGAGAGUGGCAGCAUGCAGGUAGAUCCGGUCCUGGAGUUGAGAGUCCUAUAUCUUAUAGGCAAUAGGAAGCUGACGGAGGGAAGCUUGAGAAAAAGAGACCUCAAAGCCCACCCCCACAGUGACACACUUCCUCCAACAAGGUCACACCUCGUAAUAGCACCACUCCCUUUGGGGCCAUUUUCUUUCAAACCACCACAAUGCCAGCCUAGAUUCUCUGAGCACAUAAAGAAAAUAAGAAGCAUGCAUGCAUUUUAGGCUCUUUGCAGUCAGAGCAUGCACUGGUAAGUUGUAGUAACAAGCAAGCCUAACUAUUCCUGGUAUGAAACACUCAUCUUCUGAAGCCCUAUAUGUCAGCCACAAGCCACAAUAGCCAAAGAGGUCAGGAGGAGCCAGGUGCCCAGGCUGAUCAGAGAGUCAUCACCUGAAAUGGGGCAGAGCGAAAGAGAGAACUCUUUAUUUUUUUUCCUGAAGGUGCAAGUAAGUGCCAUGGCCUGAGUGCCAGCAGUGGUUUCUAGAAACCAUUCAUGAGGCAGUACACAGAUCAUAGGGGGAGGGGGAGGGGGAGGGCAGCGGCGUUACCCCACAGCAAGCUAGGGAGCCUGAGUAAGCAGGGCCACUCUACAAUUACAAGCAACAGGAUCAGCUCUUCUUGGUGGAAACAAAAAGAGGAGGGUUUGACAGGAAAAUGCCAACAGAUGUGUCUCCUAGAAGCACAGGAUAGGAGGAGACCCAGGGCCCGGAGAGAGGAGCAUCCAAAGACACUGCAGGAGGAGGCUGUGUCCCCCACACCUACCCACACACACACUACCAAAGGGACUGAUUCAUUGCCCACACAGUAGCCAGGGAGAACAAGUUCCUCCACAAAGCCCAGGUAGCAUGCCAUCAGGGCUAAGAACUUACACAGCACACGAUGAGAGGAUAAGAAGGUGCCAUUGCAGGCUCUGAACUGUAAGUAUAAAUCUUUCGGCCAGCUGCCCGAGUUCUGCCAGCCACCACAUUAGGGCCCCAAGUAACACAGAGAGACUUAUAUUAGUUACAAUGCUGCUGGCCAAUGACUAGGAUUUCUUAAUCUAUAUGUUUUAUAAAGACGUAUCUUAUUGAGAACACUGGCAGAAUGCAUCCUCUUUCCAGGAUCAUAUGGUAGCUCCACAGAGAAGAGAGGAGGAGGAAGAGAAUGACUUCCUGUUUGUCCCUGCUUAUAUUCUGAGUCUGCCUGCUAUGUCACUUCCUGUCUGGAUCACAAGACUUCUCUUUACUACAUUUCCCAGAAUCCUCCUCAACUCCUGGUCCCACCUAACUUGCUUCCCUAUUGGCCAACAGUACUUUAUUUAUCAACCAAUAAGACAAACAUAUACACAGAAAGACCUCCCCCAUCACUGAACUCAUACCUACACUCUCCCAAGGUGGUGACGUCUUGCCUACACAUGCUAGAGGGAGGGACCUCCAGUCACAAACAUGGGCUACCAUAGGCUAGGGCUGCCCAUGACUGAUGUCUAGAGAACCAGAGCCUUUUGAGGUGGGGAGCUGGGGUCCCAGCAAGAGGGUGCAAGCUGGAGGUCCCCAGAUCCCCAAAUACUCAUCCUUGGAUCCUAGCAAGACUUCACAGAUAUAAAGGGACCUGGAAGCUUGACAUAAAGUGAAUUUUCCUAACUAGGCAUGGUGUCUCUCACUCAUAACCCCAGCUCUUGUGAGGCUAAAGUAGGAUUGCCAUGAGUUCAAGGGCAUCCUGGGCUACAUAGUGAG
Molecule: long non-coding RNA, 4409 nt
Filed under: Cricetulus griseus (Chinese hamster)
Lineage: Eukaryota; Metazoa; Chordata; Mammalia; Rodentia; Cricetidae
Description: lncRNA (ENSCGRG00015037728.1)
Source: RNAcentral